This 464-nucleotide ribosomal RNA is filed under the name uncultured bacterium. RNAcentral's name for it is "partial 16S ribosomal RNA". It matches the Rfam family "Bacterial small subunit ribosomal RNA", at positions 29 to 507 of the family's 1533-position model. The record is from RNAcentral.
AUGCACGCUGGCGGCGUGCUUCACACCUGCCAGUCGAACGGAAAGGCUCCUGCUUGCAGGGGUACUCGAGUGGCGAACGGGUGAGUAACACGUGGGUGAUCUGCCCUGCACUUCGGGAUAAGCCUGGGAAACUGGGUCUAAUACCGGAUAGGACGAUGGUUUGGAUGCCAUUGUGGAAAGUUUUUCGGUGUGGGAUGAGCUCGCGGCCUAUCAGCUUGUUGGUGGGGUAAUGGCCUACCAAGGCGUCGACGGGUAGCCGGCCUGAGAGGGUGUACGGCCACAUUGGGACUGAGAUACGGCCCAGACUCCUACGGGAGGCAGCAGUGGGGAAUAUUGCACAAUGGGCGCAAGCCUGAUGCAGCGACGCCGCGUGGGGGAUGACGGCCUUCGGGUUGUAAACUCCUUUCGCUAGGGACGAAGCGCAAGUGACGGUACCUGGAGAAGAAGCACCGGCUAACUACGUG